Molecule: non-coding RNA, 21 nt
Filed under: Caenorhabditis elegans
Lineage: Eukaryota; Metazoa; Nematoda; Chromadorea; Rhabditida; Rhabditidae
Source: RNAcentral
UAAUUUACACCGCAUUAUUAG